Molecule: ribosomal RNA, 377 nt
Filed under: uncultured organism
Description: partial 16S ribosomal RNA
Rfam family: Bacterial small subunit ribosomal RNA
Source: RNAcentral
GUAGGUGGCAAGCGUUGUCCGGAAUUAUUGGGCGUAAAGCGCGCGCAGGCGGUUCUUUAAGUCUGAUGUGAGAGCCCACGGCUCAACCGUGGAGGGUCAUUGGAAACUGGAGAACUUGAGUACAGAAGAGGAAAGCGGAAUUCCACGUGUAGCGGUGAAAUGCGUAGAGAUGUGGAGGAACACCAGUGGCGAAGGCGGCUUUCUGGUCUGCAACUGACGCUGAGGCGCGAAAGCGUGGGGGGGAGCAAACAGGAUUAGAUACCCUGGUAGUCCACGCCGUAAACGAUGAGUGCUAAGUGUUAGGGGGUUUCCGCCCCCCCCUUAGUGCUGCAGCUAACGCAUUAAGCACUCCGCCUGGGAGUACGGCCGCAAGGCUG